Eucalyptus grandis is the source of this 3284-nucleotide RNA transcript. It is a transcript of the gene named carbon catabolite repressor protein 4 homolog 6, with no coding region annotated. The transcript is spliced from 16 exons. The record is from RefSeq and is a predicted model, not a curated record. NCBI's taxonomy places the organism in Eukaryota, Viridiplantae, Streptophyta, Magnoliopsida, Myrtales, Myrtaceae.
CCGAUCUUUUGCUCAAUCCAGUAUCUCCGAUCCGAGUCCGAGCCAGGAAGAGAGCAGCCCGAAGUUCCGCCGACGUCGCCGUGUCGAUGACGUGUGCUCCGUCGCUGGAAGACUCUCCAUGAGGCGCUGCUGCUGCUCCUCCCUCCCCUCGCCUCUCGCCGCCGCCGCCUCCGCCGCCGCAAGCUCCGCCAUGUACCCUCGUCCCAAGUACCGUGGUGGUAGAUAUCCAUCUCAAAGGAGCUUCUCUGACUCCUCGCGCGGUGGUGGAAGAGGGCGAUUUUCAAGUGGUGAGUCCAAUGUCCACCCAGUCCAAGAUAGAAACCGAGGAUUCCAGCAAGGAGCAAGGGCUGACUUCGUCUCCGGUGAUUCUCACUUCCAUGCUGUCCAGGAUGCCAAUCGUGGAUUCCGACAAGGAGAGAUCGGUGAUUCCGCCAUCCAGGCUGGGUAUCGGCCUCCAGUCAAUUCAAGAAGGCAUUUUGUUCAGAGCCAGUCAUACGGGUUAUCCUCUGGUUACAGUCAUGAUACACAAUUCCACCAUCCCCGGCACUAUAAUCAGGGUCAAAGUAUACAGCAAUCCCGGCAAUAUAGUCAAAAUCCACAGUUUCAGCCGCAACGGCCAUCAAAACAAAAUCAGCCAUUCAGGAGACCUCCACAAUCUGAUUGCAGUUUAGCUGCUCGGACAUCAGAAGAGCAAAGGUCUAGACCGCAAAGACCUCCUGACUUUCGAAUUUGGGAAUAUGCGAAAAGAGAGCCACCUUCUGACUGUGAGCGGUUUGUUAUUCUGUCAUACAACAUAUUGGCUGACUAUCUUGCAAUAAACCAUCGAAGCAAACUCUACUAUCAUAUACCUCGCCAUAUGCUGGAUUGGCAGUGGAGAAAGAGAAGUAUCUUAUUUGAGCUUGGAUUAUGGUCUGCUGACAUAAUGUGCUUUCAGGAGGUUGAUAAAUUUCACGACCUGGAGGAGGAGUUAAAGCCACGAGGAUACUGUGGCAUUUGGAAGAUGCGGACUGGAAAUCCAGUUGAUGGUUGUGCAAUCUUUUGGCGUGCUUCAAGGUUCAAGUUGCUUCAGGAAGAAUGCAUUGAGUUCAACAAGUUGGGGCUUCGGGAUAAUGUUGCUCAGAUAUGCGUGCUUGAGCUAUUGAGUGAAAAUGGGACUGGAAAUACAGCACAUCAAUCCGCCAGUUCAGCAGGUUCUAGAAAGAUCGUGGUCUGUAACAUUCACGUGCUCUACAAUCCUAAAAGAGGAGAAAUAAAGCUUGGUCAGAUAAGGGUUCUUCUGGACAGGGCUUAUGCUGUCUCCCGAGCUUGGGCUGAUGCUCCUGUUGUUCUUUGUGGAGAUUUCAAUUGUACUCCAAAGAGUCCUCUAUACAACUUCAUAUCUGAACAGAAGUUAAGUUUGUCUGGACUAGAUAGAGAUAAAGUAUCUGGUCAAGCCUCUGCAGAAAUUCGUCCAACAAUACCAGAUAGUCAAAACACUCGUGGUCAACCUCAGUUCCGGGUGAACUACAAUAAGCUAAAAGAUUCUACCUUGGAUGAGCAGAAGCAGAGGAACCAAGAUAACGAUAAGGAAAAUUCUCUUAAUGUGUCUGACCCAUCUCAGCAUAGGUGUACGGACAGUGAUCCAGCAUCCCCUGCUAGUUCUUGCACAAACAGGCAGGGUGCAAGUGAUGACAGCAAACUAAAUUAUGAACUGGGAAAAGACUCUGAACAGAAUCCAGCAGAUGAUGCUGCAAAUGAAAAUGGAUUACCUUCUGAUACUUAUUUGGACAAAGAACCAAACUCAAAUACUUUGGUUGGGGGAACUGUGUUUCCUCUCAAUGAUGUCAAUUCAGGCGAAGAUAAAUGUAAUUUUCAGAUGGCUUCUUCAUGUGUCACUGAGCUAUCUGAUCUAGAUAAUUUGCAAGCAAAAGAUUGCACGGAUGUUCUACCAACAUCUUCCUUUACAGGCGAAGACUGUACUAGGGUUGCUAUAGAUGUUGAAUCUCUAGAUUCAAAUGAUGCAAAGAUCACUUCGUUUGUGUUGUCAAGCCAAAAGUCUACUUCUGAUGAUGCAGAAACCGCUUCAUCAGAAGUUGCAGGGCAUGUAAUAUCUCCAUCAGUCAAUGACAAACAAGAUAAUCCUUCAACCUCACAUGGUGAGUUACUUGGGGAUACCGUGGAUGCAAUAAUAGAUGAGGAACUGAAGAAUUUAUCUCUAUAUGAGCCAGAAGAAUCUAGCACGGAAGUUGGAUGUUCUUAUGAGGAUGAUGCCACAUUCUUAUCUGCAUUACACAGCGUAGAAGGUGCAGAUUCCUCUCCUGGUAGUCGAAUUGUCAAGGAAUUUUCAUCUGGUUUGGAUUUUGAGCCUGUUGAAGGGGAGAUCUCUACUUAUGAUCCUUCAUUGUGGACACCAAUGGAGAUAGCUACAGCUACUGGCAGUGCAGAUUGUCUUUUUUUGGAGCAUCCCCUCAAACUUAAGAGCACAUAUGCAGAAGUAGAGGAUUCUUCUGGGACUAGAGACACAAAUGGGGAACCCAUUGUCACCAGUUACAAUCGAUGCUUCUUGGGUACAGUUGACUACAUAUGGCAUUCCGAAGGUCUGCAGACGACAAGGGUGCUUGCUCCUAUACCCAAACAGGCUAUGCAAUGGACAACAGGGUUCCCAACCAAGAAGUGGGGUAGUGAUCAUAUUGCCCUAGUUUCUGAAUUGGCGCUUGCAAAGGGUGCAGCCGAUCAAAGGAAUGAAGUUCAGUAAUAGACCAGCCUUUGGCACCUGAGAGUUGUGAAGACAUCUGAUUUAUCUUCGGCUCUGCAGCAUUUAGUUUCGGUGUUGGAGUUCAUUCCUGACUGUUUCAGUUGCAUAAGAAGAGUUCCUGAAGCUGGAAUGAAGGACAAGGAAUGUCUCAGGUCAAAAAGAAAUCUGCUUCAAAACUGAAAAACGUCUUCCAGGAAGCUCUGGAAGAAAAUCUUGUAGAUUUAUGUCAGUAUCUUUUCAUUAGAUGCAUUUAACAGCCGAUGGCAUCUGCAGUUCUUCUGGUCGACUGUUUUGCCGUCAUAUAAUUUAGUGUCAAUCAACUCUUCCUCUGCACAUAUCUCUGUAUUAAGACUUUCUCACCUGGGAUCGAGGGCUUUGUGGCCCAUGGGUAUCUCGAAGUAGCAUCCAUAUGACCCAUUUUUAUCUGUGCAACUUGUAGGUUAGGCUUGGAAAACUAGCUUUCCUCAGUUAUUGUGAAGCCCAUCUCUCUGGAAUGUACAUUUAAGAAGCUUUGUCUCAUGUAUUGCAUGCAAAUGUUUAAUUUGGUUUA